RNAcentral lists this unclassified non-coding RNA (400 nucleotides) under uncultured fungus. Its description in RNAcentral is "sequence contains ITS1". The stretch from base 1 to 105 matches the Rfam family "5.8S ribosomal RNA", at positions 50 to 154 of the family's 154-position model. The record is from RNAcentral. Lineage: Eukaryota; Fungi.
AAAGUGCGAUAAGCAAUGCGAAUUGCAGAAUUCCGCGAAUCAUCAGAUCCUUGAACGCAACUGGCGCUAGGGGGCUCUCCCUCUAGCAUGUCUGUUUCAGUGUCUGAAAACAUCAUAAUAAUCUUAAUGUGAUUGACAAGGGAGAGAAAGGUGGUAGUUAUGGUAGUUUUCUACCUUUCUAUUUACUAAUUUCUCUUACUAAGUCUCUCAUGAAAUAUGUACAUGCGGGUCUUUGGACUCCUCUUCGAAUUUUGGUCACUGUUUACAGUGAUUUCGAUAGAGGAGUGUUCUUCGGAACAAAACUCAAUUACCCGAAAUUGCAUGUAAGAAUCAUCUGGUAGUUGUCAUGACUAUCUUAAUCUUCAAACUCUGCAUCUGAAAUCAGGCAAGAUCACCCGCU